RNAcentral lists this ribosomal RNA (449 nucleotides) under uncultured bacterium. RNAcentral's name for it is "partial 16S ribosomal RNA". It matches the Rfam family "Bacterial small subunit ribosomal RNA", at positions 29 to 523 of the family's 1533-position model. The record is from RNAcentral.
AACGAACGCUGGCGGCAUGCCUAACACAUGCAAGUCGAACGAGAUCUUCGGGUCUAGUGGCGCACGGGUGCGUAACGCGUGGGAAUCUGCCCUUUGGUUCGGAAUAACAGUUGGAAACGACUGCUAAUACCGGAUGAUGACGAAAGUCCAAAGAUUUAUCGCCAGAGGAUGAGCCCGCGUAGGAUUAGCUAGUUGGUGUGGUAAAGGCGCACCAAGGCGACGAUCCUUAGCUGGUCUGAGAGGAUGAUCAGCCACACUGGGACCGAGACACGGCCCAGACUCCUACGGGAGGCAGCAGUGGGGAAUAUUGGACAAUGGGCGAAAGCCUGAUCCAGCAGUGCCGCGUGAGUGAUGAAGGCCUUAGGGUUGUAAAGCUCUUUUACCCGGGAUGAUAAUGACAGUACCGGGAGAAUAAGCUCCGGCUAACUCCGUGCCAGCCGCCGCAGUAA